Molecule: long non-coding RNA, 533 nt
Organism: Myodes glareolus (Bank vole)
Lineage: Eukaryota; Metazoa; Chordata; Mammalia; Rodentia; Cricetidae
Source: RefSeq, a predicted model, not a curated record
UCUGGCUUCUCAGAAUGUGCAGUCUGUCGCCACCUGGCGACAAGAGUGUCUGUGCCCUGUGGGACAUCCUCAGAAUUAAAUCUGCACCGGAUGGAGCCAGGGCAGUGCAGAGCUGACCGGAGGCGGCUCCUGGCGAAGCUCUGCGACCGUCCUGGGUGGUACCCAGUCUAGGACACCCGGAGGUGUAGAAGAGCAGGAGCGAAGAAUAAAGGAGCAAAAGGCGGGAAAGAGACCAAAAUCUGACCUCAGCAGAUGACCCUGCAUUGAUUAUCAUGGCAGCAAGGGUCACAGACUUGUCCCACCAGAAGGAAGUUGUGAGAAGGGGAGGGAGUUGGUCGGGGCUCUUCCAGGAGUGGGCUCUGGGCUUCGGUGAAGUCCACACAGCUCUACGAAAGGAUUCAUGCAGGGCAAGACAGGCUUGAGAAAUCUGUGAUCGCUCUUUUGUUUACUUAUAAACUUGUUUAUUUCUCUUAAUUGCUUGCUCAGGCAGAGCAGGCUAUCUUGAGGACUAUCUGUCUCAAUAAACAAUUCUC